GGCAUUGUGGCUCAGUGACAGAGUGCUUAUCUCGAAAGUAUGAGGUACUGGGUUCCAUCCUCAGCAACCA
Molecule: non-coding RNA, 70 nt
Organism: Ictidomys tridecemlineatus (thirteen-lined ground squirrel)
Lineage: Eukaryota; Metazoa; Chordata; Mammalia; Rodentia; Sciuridae
Source: Rfam